AUGCCGCCGCUGAUCGACGACGCCACCGUCGAGAUCCUCCUCCGCCUCCCGCCGGACGAGCCCGAGCACCUCUUCCGCGCCGCCCUCGUGUGCAAGCGGUUGCUCCGCAUCAUCUGCGACCCCGGCUUCCUCCGCAGCUACCUCGCCUUCCACGGCGCCCCUCCCCUCCUGGGCCUCCUUCACAGGCUCAUGCUCUCCCAAUUGGGCCCACCAGCCCCUCGCUUCGCCUCUGCCACGUCCAUGCCCAACUUUCCCUACCCGGGCUCCGACGACCGCCUUGUGACUCCCCUCGAUUGCCGCCACGGCCGCAUCAUCUCCUACCUGAGGCAGGACGAUGGUUUGUAUUACCAUGUCUGGGACCCCGUCACGGGAGACUGCCACGUCGUGCCCAUAGCGGGCAUCGAUUGGCUCAUCUAG
This 417-nucleotide ribosomal RNA is filed under the name Triticum aestivum (bread wheat). RNAcentral describes it as "partial small subunit ribosomal RNA". The record is from RNAcentral. Lineage: Eukaryota; Viridiplantae; Streptophyta; Magnoliopsida; Poales; Poaceae.